Molecule: non-coding RNA, 347 nt
Organism: Pantherophis guttatus
Lineage: Eukaryota; Metazoa; Chordata; Lepidosauria; Squamata; Colubridae
Source: RefSeq, a predicted model, not a curated record
GUCAAGCAAAACACUGAUGGUGAUCAAACUAUUAAGGAAGCUUAUUUACAGUGAUGGUGUUGAGGGGCAUUUAGAGCAUUACUUGCUGGUUUUUAUGCAAACUACAUCAUAAUCUUUGGAAGACGAAAGUAUCAGCACAGAAUAAAACUUCCACAUAUUGGCUGCAAAAAUCUUGGCUAGUACUAGAUGGCAACAAAGAGCCUCAGAAAACUCUAAGUCUUUGCUGUGAUGAGCAAAUGUGAUUUUUACAUCCAGAUAAGGUGCUUUCCAAAAUGUCCUUUCUUUCUAUUUCCUUCUACAUUAAAUGUAUAUACCAGCACAUCUGUUUACUGUGCUGAUGUUUCAAC